RNAcentral lists this ribosomal RNA (433 nucleotides) under uncultured bacterium. RNAcentral's name for it is "partial 16S ribosomal RNA". It matches the Rfam family "Bacterial small subunit ribosomal RNA", at positions 29 to 507 of the family's 1533-position model. The record is from RNAcentral.
AGCGAACGCUGGCGGCAGGCCUAACACAUGCAAGUCGAACGAACCUUUCGGGGUUAGUGGCGGACGGGUGAGUAACACGUGGGAACGUGCCUUUAGGUUCGGAAUAACUCAGGGAAACUUGUGCUAAUACCGAAUGUGCCCUUCGGGGAAAGAUUAAUCGCCUUUAGAGCGGCCCGCGUCUGGUUAGCUAGUUGGUUGAGGUAAUGGCUCACCAAGGCGACGAUCAGUAGCUGGUCUGAGAGGAUGAUCAGCCACAUUGGGACUGAGACACGGCCCAAACUCCUACGGGAGGCAGCAGUGGGGAAUCUUGCGCAAUGGGCGAAAGCCUGACGCAGCCAUGCCGCGUGAAUGAUGAAGGUCUUAGGAUUGUAAAAUUCUUUCACCGGGGACGAUAAUGACGGUACCCGGAGAAGAAGCCCCGGCUAACUUCGUG